This is a long non-coding RNA of Ananas comosus (pineapple), 741 nucleotides long. RefSeq lists it as uncharacterized. The transcript has 7 exons. The record is from RefSeq and is a predicted model, not a curated record. NCBI's taxonomy places the organism in Eukaryota, Viridiplantae, Streptophyta, Magnoliopsida, Poales, Bromeliaceae.
GAGCUCCUUGAGGAUAUGAGAACGUGAGGAAGGAGGCCUUGUUGAGGAUUAUACUCUAACCUAGCCGGGGGUGAGUUUGAUUAGAGCUGAUUUGAAGAUUUGGGGGCCAGCUUUUGGAACGAAGGAAGAGUGGUUUUGCUGUGUUUCGCAGUCCUAACUCAGCUAGAAAUUGAGUUGAAGCCUUGUGAGCUGAUGUGGAGAGGUUUGUAGCAGCUGUAGAAGAGAUAUUUUAGCUGUGGUUCGUCACUCCUAACUCAGUCGAAGCUGAGUUGAAGCGUUGGGAAGGAGAUCCUUGUAGAUCGAUGUUGGUGUGCUUCAACCUGAGUUGGAGCUAUGCAAGCAGAAUUCGCAGCGGGUUGUUGAAUCCCUUUAGCUGGAAUUUGUGAGCUUCAGAAGGGUAAUUUUGAUGUACUCCAAUCAGAAUUGAAGUGGAAUCCAAGUUGGAUUUAUUCUAGGGUACUUGGAAGCUUCGGAUUACCUUCAUUGUGGGAUCGACGAGAAUCGACAACAAUUAGGUGGAUCGGACUUUCCCGAAAUUGAGCCUUCCACAGCGGGAAAGGCUAGAGUUCCGGCAAGGGGUCAGCGGAUAGCUAGAGCCUCCUCGAUGUUAAACAGAUGGAACCAUAUCAGCUUUUCUAGUUUAGUUCAGUGUUGUAUAUUAGAACUAUGUAGAAUGUACUUUGAACUUUUCUUUUAAGUUGUAAUAAGGUUUUGUGUUGUAUAAGUUUAUGAACUUUUCGU